Molecule: ribosomal RNA, 253 nt
Filed under: uncultured bacterium
Lineage: Bacteria
Description: partial 16S ribosomal RNA
Rfam family: Bacterial small subunit ribosomal RNA
Source: RNAcentral
UACAGAGGUCCCAAGCGUUGUUCGGAUUCACUGGGCGUAAAGGGUGCGUAGGUGGUCGGGUAAGUCUGAUGUGAAAUCUCCGAGCUUAACUCGGAAAUGGCAUUGGAUACUAUUCGGCUAGAGGGUUUGAGGGGGGACUGGAAUACCUGGUGUAGCAGUGAAAUGCGUAGAUAUCAAGUGGAACACCAGUGGCGAAGGCGAGUCCCUGGAAAACUACUGACACUGAGGCACGAAAGCUAGGGGAGCAAACAGG